CAGUUCGGAUCGCAGGCUGCAACCCGCCUGCGUGAAGUUGGAAUUGCUAGUAAUCGCGGAUCAGCAUGCCGCGGUGAAUACGUUCCCGGGCCUUGUACACACCGCCCGUCACACCAUGGGAGCCGGUAAUACCCGAAGUCAGUAGUCUAACCGCAAGGGGGGCGCUGCCGAAGGUAGGAUUGGCGACUGGGGUGAAGUCGUAACAAGGUAGC
Molecule: ribosomal RNA, 212 nt
Filed under: uncultured bacterium
Lineage: Bacteria
Description: partial 16S ribosomal RNA
Rfam family: Bacterial small subunit ribosomal RNA
Source: RNAcentral